Molecule: ribosomal RNA, 590 nt
Filed under: Salmonella enterica subsp. enterica serovar Enteritidis
Lineage: Bacteria; Pseudomonadati; Pseudomonadota; Gammaproteobacteria; Enterobacterales; Enterobacteriaceae
Description: partial 23S ribosomal RNA
Rfam family: Bacterial large subunit ribosomal RNA
Source: RNAcentral
GGGUUGUGAGGUUAAGCGACUAAGCGUACACGGUGGAUGCCCUGGCAGUCAGAGGCGAUGAAGGGCGUGCUAAUCUGCGAUAAGCGCCGGUAAGGUGAUAUGAACCGUUAUAACCGGCGAUACCCGAAUGGGGAAACCCAGUGUGACUCGUCACACUAUCAUUAACUGAAUCCAUAGGUUAAUGAGGCGAACCGGGGGAACUGAAACAUCUAAGUACCCCGAGGAAAAGAAAUCAACCGAGAUUCCCCCAGUAGCGGCGAGCGAACGGGGAGGAGCCCAGAGCCUGAAUCAGCAUGUGUGUUAGUGGAAGCGUCUGGAAAGGCGCGCGAUACAGGGUGACAGCCCCGUACACAAAAGCGCAUGUGCUGUGAGCUCGAUGAGUAGGGCGGGACACGUGGUAUCCUGUCUGAAUAUGGGGGGACCAUCCUCCAAGGCUAAAUACUCCUGACUGACCGAUAGUGAACCAGUACCGUGAGGGAAAGGCGAAAAGAACCCCGGCGAGGGGAGUGAAAAAGAACCUGAAACCGUGUACGUACAAGCAGUGGGAGCCCCACCACCAAAGCAUUUGCUGUACCGCGUUGACGGAGCGA